UGCAAGUCGAACGGCAGCACGGACUUCGGUCUGGUGGCGAGUGGCGAACGGGUGAGUAAUGUAUCGGAACGUGCCUAGUAGCGGGGGAUAACUACGCGAAAGCGUAGCUAAUACCGCAUACGCCCUACGGGGGAAAGCAGGGGAUCGCAAGACCUUGCACUAUUAGAGCGGCCGAUAUCGGAUUAGCUAGUUGGUGGGGUAACGGCUCACCAAGGCGACGAUCCGUAGCUGGUUUGAGAGGACGACCAGCCACACUGGGACUGAGACACGGCCCAGACUCCUACGGGAGGCAGCAGUGGGGAAUUUUGGACAAUGGGGGAAACCCUGAUCCAGCCAUCCCGCGUGUGCGAUGAAGGCCUUCGGGUUGUAAAGCACUUUUGGCAGGAAAGAAACGUCAUGGGCUAAUACCCCGUGAAACUGACGGUACCUGCAGAAUAAGCACCGGCUAACUACGUGCCAGCAGCCGCGGUAAUACGUAGGGUGCAAGCGUUAAUCGGAAUUACUGGGCGUAAAGCGUGCGCAGGCGGUUCGGAAAGAAAGAUGUGAAAUCCCAGAGCUUAACUUUUGGAACUGCAUUUUUAACUACCGAGCUAGAGUGUGUCAGAGGGAGGUGGAAUUCCGCGUGUAGCAGUGAAAUGCGUAGAUUUGCGGAGGAACACCGAUGGCGAAGGCACCUCCUGGGAUAACACUGACGCUCAUGCACUA
RNAcentral lists this ribosomal RNA (705 nucleotides) under Achromobacter xylosoxidans. RNAcentral describes it as "bacterial SSU rRNA". It matches the Rfam family "Bacterial small subunit ribosomal RNA", at positions 56 to 756 of the family's 1533-position model. Lineage: Bacteria; Pseudomonadati; Pseudomonadota; Betaproteobacteria; Burkholderiales; Alcaligenaceae. The record is from RNAcentral.